Molecule: ribosomal RNA, 2127 nt
Filed under: Chloroflexota bacterium
Lineage: Bacteria; Bacillati; Chloroflexota
Description: Chloroflexi bacterium partial 23S ribosomal RNA
Rfam family: Bacterial large subunit ribosomal RNA
Source: RNAcentral
GGUCAAAUUAUGAAGGGCUUACGGUGGAUGCCUUGGGACCAAGGGCCGAAGAAGGACGCGGUAAGGCUGCGAAAAGCCUCGAUGAGCCGUCUAACAGGCGUAAUCGGGGGUCUCCGAAUUGGGUAACCUGUUCCGGCGUUGAGUCGGUCCACCCGCUCCGGCGGGAGGUAAGUGGGGGAACUGAAACAUCUAAGUACCCCGAGGAAAAGAAAUCAACCGAGAUUCCCUCAGUAGUGGCGAACGAACGGGGAAGAGCCUAAACCGCAACGACCGAACGGCAUGAGGGCCUAUGUCGUUGCGGGGUUACAGGACGUUUCUGGAGUCGCCUCAUCAGGCUCCAAGGAGUUACAAACUUCAUUUCUAGCCGAAGGACCCUGGGAAGGGCCGCCGAAGACGGUGACAGCCCGGUAGGCGAAAGGAAUGAAGCUCCUGAAGCAGAUCCUAAGUACCAUGGGGCACGUGAAACCUUGUGGGAAGUUGGGGGGACCACCCUCCAAGGCUAAAUACUCUUGGUCACCGAUAGCGCACCAGUACCGUGAGGGAAAGGUGAAAAGAACCCCUGGCGGGGAGUGAAAUAGACCUGAAACCGUAAGCCUACAGAAGGUCGGAGUCCGUAUUUACGGAUGACGGCGUGCCUAUUGAAGAAUGAUCCGGGGACUUACUGUAUGGAGCGAGGUUAAGGGACUGUAGUUCCGGAGCCGUAGCGAAAGCGAGUCUGAACAGGGCGACCAGUUCCAUGUAGUAGACCCGAAACCGAGUGAGCUACCCAUGGCCAGAUUGAAGGUUCGUUAACGCGGACUGAAGGAUCGAACUCGUAGCUAGUACAAAAGCUUGGGAUGAGCUGUGGGUAGAGGUGAAAUGCCAAUCGAACUCGGAAAUAGCUGGUUCUCCCCGAAAUGCAUUUAGGUGCAGCCUCGGGAACUAGGAGGACGGAGGUAGGGCACUGAAUGGGCUAGGGGGCGUGAGCUUACCAAACUCAAUCAAACCACCAAUGCCGUUCUACCGAUACCCGGGAGUGAGACAGUCACAGAUAAGUGCAAUUGUCAAGAGGGAAACAGCCCAGACCACCGGCUAAGGCCCCCAAGAGCAGACUAAGUGGGAAACGAGGUGGGGUUCCCAAAACAGCCAGGAGGUUGGCUUAGAAGCAGCCACCCUUUAAAGAGUGCGUAAUAGCUCACUGGUCGAGGGAUCCUGCGCGGAAAAUGUAACGGGGCUUAAGUUUGCCGCCGAAGCCGUGGAUGUACAGGUACAGGCCGGAACCGACUGAGGUAGAAGUUGCCUCUUCGGAGUUGACGGAAGCUGAGGAAGGGGAAAGUCUGAGUUACGCCUGGGCAUGGUAGGGGAGCGUUCCUCGUGCGGAGAAGGCGAGUCGUGAGGCUCGUUGGAGCGCGGGGAAGUGAGAAUCCCGGAAUGAGUAGCGUAAAUCAGGGUGAGAAUCCCUGACACCGAAAGCCCAAGGUUUCCUACGCAACGUUGUUCGGCGUAGGGUUAGUCGGUCCUAAGCCGUAGGCAAGAGCCGAAGGCGAUGGACAGCAGGUUAAUAUUCCUGCACCGCCGUUGUUUCGCUUAAAACCAAGGAGGGGUGCGGGAGGCUAGGCGGGGCGUGCCCAUUGGACAUGGUGCGUCCUUGCUUGUAGGCGUUCCGGGGCAGGCAAAUCCACCCCGGUGUUAAGCUGAGGAGUGAGGGAAUCCCGACCUACGGGAACGGAGACCCCGUUGAGGCCAUACCGACAAGAAAAGCUUCGUGGUUAUGGAGCUGCGGCGACCGUACCGCAAACCGCCACUGGUGGGCUGGGAUAAAAGUCCCUAGGUGUUCGAGCUAACCUCCGCUAAGGAACUAGACAAAAGGGCCCCGUAACUUCGGGAGAAGGGGCCCCCUGGAUGGUGAAACCGCUAGCCGGUGGAGCUGUCUGGGGGCGCAGAGAAGAAGGCCGGGCGACUGUUUAACAAAAACACAGGUCUGUGCUAAGGGGAAACCCUACGUAUACAGGCUGACGCCUGCCCAGUGCCGGAAGGUUAAGGGGCGGUGUGCAAGCACCAAACUGAAGCCCCGGUGAACGGCGGCCGUAACUCUAACGGUCCUAAGGUAGCGAAAUUCCUUGUCGGGUAAGUUCCGACCCGCACGAA